GAUGAACGCUAGCGCUAGGCUUAACACAUGCAAGUCGAGGGACCGGCGCACGGGUGCGUAACGCGUAUACAACUUGCCUCACAGAGGGGGAUAACCCGACGAAAGACGGAUUAAUACCGAGUACUGUGAGCUAGGCAUGCGUCCCAUUAGCGAGUUGGUGAGGUAACGGCUCACCAAGGCAACGAAGGGUAGGGGAACUGAGAGGUUGAACCCCCGCACUGGUACUGCGACCCGGACCAGACCCCUAGGGGACGGAGCAGUGAGUAAUAGUGGUCAAGGGGCGCUGGCCUGGACCAGCCAAGUGGCGUGAAGGAGGACUGUCUUUGGAUUGUAAACUUCUUUUGUAGGAGAAUAUGUACCCUACGAAUAAGCAUCGGCUAACUCCGUGCCAGCAGCCGCGGUAAUAC
Molecule: ribosomal RNA, 407 nt
Filed under: uncultured bacterium
Lineage: Bacteria
Description: partial 16S ribosomal RNA
Rfam family: Bacterial small subunit ribosomal RNA
Source: RNAcentral